Molecule: non-coding RNA, 126 nt
Filed under: Otolemur garnettii (small-eared galago)
Lineage: Eukaryota; Metazoa; Chordata; Mammalia; Primates; Galagidae
Description: U4atac minor spliceosomal RNA (ENSOGAG00000033614.1)
Rfam family: U4atac minor spliceosomal RNA
About the family: U4atac is an essential component of the minor U12-type spliceosome complex which is required for removal of the rarer class of eukaryotic introns (AT-AC, U12-type).
Source: Rfam by way of RNAcentral
AGCAUCCUUUUCUUGGGAUUGUGUUACUGUCUGAAGAGUAUAUGGUGAGGGCCGUAUUGUUAAUGCCUACACAACAUGCCUGCAUAAACUAGAGCUUUACUUUACCUUGGCACAAUUUUUGAAUAA